Molecule: ribosomal RNA, 237 nt
Filed under: uncultured bacterium
Lineage: Bacteria
Description: partial 16S ribosomal RNA
Rfam family: Bacterial small subunit ribosomal RNA
Source: RNAcentral
CCGGCACGGGUGAGUAACACGUAUCCAACCUGCCGUCUACUCUUGGACAGCCUUCUGAAAGGAAGAUUAAUACAAGAUGGCAUCAUGAGUUCACAUGUUCACAUGAUUAAAGGUAUUCCGGUAGACGAUGGGGAUGCGUUCCAUUAGAUAGUAGGCGGGGUAACGGCCCACCUAGUCUUCGAUGGAUAGGGGUUCUGAGAGGAAGGUCCCCCACAUUGGUACUGAGACCCGGACCAA